Molecule: ribosomal RNA, 447 nt
Filed under: uncultured bacterium
Lineage: Bacteria
Description: partial 16S ribosomal RNA
Rfam family: Bacterial small subunit ribosomal RNA
Source: RNAcentral
AUUGAACGCUGGCGGCAGGCUUAACACAUGCAAGUCGAACGCAUCGCAAGAUGAGUGGCAGACGGGUGAGUAACGCGUGGGAACAUACCCUUUUCUACGGAAUAGCUCUGGGAAACUGGAAUUAAUACCGUAUACGCCCUACGGGGGAAAGAUUUAUCGGGGAAGGAUUGGCCCGCGUUGGAUUAGCUAGUUGGUGGGGUAAAGGCCUACCAAGGCGACGAUCCAUAGCUGGUCUGAGAGGAUGAUCAGCCACAUUGGGACUGAGACACGGCCCAAACUCCUACGGGAGGCAGCAGUGGGGAAUAUUGGACAAUGGGCGCAAGCCUGAUCCAGCCAUGCCGCGUGAGUGAUGAAGGCCUUAGGGUUGUAAAGCUCUUUCACCGAUGAAGAUAAUGACGGUAGUCGGAGAAGAAGCCCCGGCUAACUUCGUGCCAGCCGCCGCCGUAA